GAUUUUUCGGUCUGGCUUUGGGCGUGUGUGUGUGUGUGUGUGUGCCCGAGAAGAAAACCAUGCCCGAUGCUGACUGGAUCCGGGAAGAGAAUACAACUCAGCUGACAUCUUUACACGACAGAGGCAGCAAGAAGGGUCAGAAUCAGAAUGUUCUGUGGCAAAAUCUCACUCUGUAGAUGGGAAGGAGAAAAGAGAGACCGGCACGUAGCGGGGCUGGAUAUCACACUGCCAGACAUUUGCAUGGAUUUGAAGACCACGCUGUCUGUAAAAGCUGAUGGAGCCCAAGGAGAACUCAGGCACCUAUAUUAUCUUGAACAGCCUCCAGAAGAUGUGGUGGCCAGGUAGUCUGCAUCAUUACCCCCAAGAGGUCUCGUAAAGGAACAAAACAGGGACAAUUGAAGCAUAUUCUUCUCAAGCAGCACAAUACUUUUGUGGCGAGAGCUGAAGGAAAUGCAUUGUUUGGAUUAGAAUAUUUUUUUCAUUAACAGGAUGUUCAAAAUAAACAAAAUUACUUGAUUCACAGUGCCUGUGGCUGUAUCAGGUUAACACUGACGUGCUUUCAUACUUGAGCUCAUCUUCACUAAUCAAUCAGAAACACACUUGCUGGCAAGAAAGGUCACAUCAUUAAUCACACAACAGCAACGUUUUGACAACAAACAGGUAUCUACAUACAGCCAAAUUUCACUCUCAGUUACAGAGGUUUAAUGCGCAACAUACUGAAGAUGAUGGGUGCCAGAUAGAGAGAGAGAGAGAUGAAGCUGCAGUGUCUCCCAUAAUUACACCUGUGUAUACCAGGUACUGUAAACUAGAGCAGAAUUUGUCCCAUUCAAUUAAAUCAGAGAUCAUGAUAUUAUGCCCUCCGUAUACACUUGUAUCUUGGAUUAAAUUCAAGUUGAUUGAAUGAAAGGAGAAUGAGAUAAAAUGUAAUGUAUAGGUGGGCACUGGCCUGAUCUCUUUGGUUCAGGACCAAAGUAUUACUGUUCAUAUUGAAGAAACACCAUAGUGAGCAUGAUGCUACUGGAGGUAUCAUCUUUCAGAGGAUAUAUAUAAAAAAAGUCCUCGACUUCUUUGGUCAUUGAGGAUUCUAUGACAAAGGCUGUUAGCCCCAGUCUCCUGACUGGAUUACGUCUCAGAAAAUUAGAGUUACUAUUCUCAUUAAUAGAUUACAAGGCCAGAAGGGACCACUGUGAUCAUCUAGUCAGACUCCUGUAUAAUGAAGGCCACAGAACUUCCCCAAAGUAAUUCCUAGAGCUUAGAAAAAAAUUCAAUCUUAAUUUAAAUAUUACAGUAAUGGAGAAUCCCCACCAUGACUCCGGGUAAAUUGUUCCAAUGGCUAAUUGCCUUAUUUCCAGUCUGAAUUUGUCGAGCUUCAGUUUUCAGCCAUUCCAUUCCAGCUGGAUUGAAAAGCCCAUUAUAAAAUUGAAGAGUUCAUUGUAGUUACUAUCCUUCUACUCCUAAAAACUCUGAGUGCCAUUUCUGCACAUAAUGGCAAUGUAUUUUAUCAGUGGGUGAAGAGAAUCCUGUAUGUACAAUCAUUGGGAUCAAAAGUAUUUAAACAAUAAGAAAUUAUUAUAAAUAUAGUUUAACUUUUCUAGGCUAAACUCCAUGAUCCAUGUAUGGCCUUCCUCCCCUUUAAUUUUAUCUGGCUCCAAUCUUUACCACAGAUGAGGAAGAGAGAAGCAGCUAUGUUAUGGGCUAUAGAGUAGAUUCUGAGGCUAUGCUAAGGGAGAGGAAAACAUCUGUAUCUCUUCAAGUGGGCACUACCACAGCAUAGGGUAUUUACCAGAGUCUGUGUCAGAGUGCAGUGCAGUAAUCCUCAGCUAGUGGAUAGUUCCUUUGGGACUGUAGCUAGUGGUUGUAGGUUAGAAGUUAGGUUCCUUGAAUGCCAUGGUUGGAGCUCAGGUAGAAUUAGGCAGAGAAGCAGGGAGCCAUAACUGGCUCUUCUUAGGCUCUCCUCUGUUGGCUGAACAGAUCUCUGUCACCUCAGAGAAUCGGGCCCCUUCUUUACUCUGGAUGAAAUCCAGGUCCCAUUGGGUAUGUCUACACUGCACUACUCUGAUUCAGGUUUCAGCCCAAGCCCCCCUUCCAUCCACACACAAAUUAGUCUGACUCGGAUCAACAAGCACUUAUGACCUAGGACCCUGCUAGGGUCAUGGGUCAGAGCCCGAGUCCUGCUGUGACUUGGGUCUAAGCUCUGCCAUUUUUCAGUGUGGAUGUAGAUCAAGUCGCAGACCUGACUCAAAAAGCCUGCAGUAUGGAAGCAUGAGCAUGGCCAGACCUAGGUCCGGCAAUGGAAAAUUGUGAUUUACAAUGCAGUGUGGAUGUUCGAGCAUGGGCUUGGAAACACCAAAUCCACAAGCUCAUAUCCCAAAGAUCUGAGCUGAGCAUAGAGUAUAGACCUACCCAUUGAAGACAAUGGUAAAAUUCAUAAUGACUUCAAUGGAUUCAUGGUUUUACCUUCAGGCUGUUGUGGUAUGUGUACACUGCAUUGUAAACCCAGGACUGUGAGAACUGGGCUUGUGGUCUCAGUGUUUCUAAGAGAUUUUUGGUAUGAAAAGAAGCACAUAUUACAUUAUCUGCAGCACAUAUUGUGUGGCAUAACACACACAUAAGUGAGACUAAAUUGAGUUCUGGGCAUCAUUAGCUUAAUUAAAAUUGUGAUUUUUGUCUCAAACCUACAGGCCAUUGUUGUAUAUGGCGAGGGGUGGAGGGGCCCGCAGUGGAGGGGGAGCAGAUGACAUAAGACAGAAAAUAGUUCUCUAGUUAAAAAUUAGUUGCCUAGGCUAAAAAUAUGAUCAAAUGAGGUCUACAGUAUUUUAUAAAGAGCUAAGAGAUAGCAGCACUUAAAGCAGUGCAAAAUUUGCAUUUUGUUAAUUUCUAUUCAUGUUUUUACAUGCACUUGCUUUCUGUAUGCUUGCCAGUCCAAUGCACUGGUACAAUCCUCACAUUUUGAGAUCAUCUAGGCUCUCGUCAAACUACAGCUGAAAGUGUACUAAAGACAACUGUGUUUAACCAUGGUUGUUGCUAGCCAUGCUUUGAUGAUAAAUCUGGGCGAGCCACAGCAGUGUAACUAUAGUGGGGACAGAGCCUUACACUAUAUCUUCUUUCUACAUUUAAAAAUAAAAUUGAAAGAUUAUUUUUUCUCCAAGUCAGAUUCAAGGAUUAAAUAUUCCUUUAGCUGAAGCCGUAAUGUGGGGAGACCCAUGUUCAGUACUCUCUCUCUCUCUCUCUCUCUCUCUCCCACUCAGAUCCUGGCAGCAGAGGUCAGUAGCACUAUGUAGAUGCUCUGCUCCAUUGCACUGAGAGGGGAAGGAGAGCAUCACAUUACUCUGCAACUUCACCUACAGGCUGUUUGAAGAACAAACAGCGAAUUAGAAGACCGAAGAAGUCCUUUAACCUUCUGACCCCUGCACAGCUCUGUUAGCUAGUAGUUUUUUUUAUGCAUAGUGGUCAAUGCUAAAUCCCAGAGUAGAAUUUGGAUAUUACCUAUUUAAGGGCUUGAUCCUGGAGUUUGUACUCAUGUGAGUAAUCCUACAUGCAUGAGUAGUUUGACUGACUCACAUGCAUAGGAAUUACUCAUGUGAGUAAGAGUUGGGGUCUUAAUGGAAUCUAUUCUCCCUCCAGUACAUGCAUUUAAGUCUCAUUUGUGCUCAUGGGAGCUAUGCAUAUUCAACAAGGGGAGAAUAGAUUCCCUUAAUCUGAUGAAAUGCAGGGAAUUUGAUUGUCAUGUUUGAUUUAAUGAUACGUUGUUGAGGGUAGAAUGGGCUGUAAUGUUCAAAUUAUUCUAUGGAUUUAGCCCUUUUGUCUGUGUGAAUUUUCCAGGAACAGAUCAUAUUUUUUACAUAUUUGUUCUUGGUUCCAAAAUUGAUUGCUGAAUUUUUAUACAAACAAAUUUCAGCCUGGCAGCUGUUUGUGAACUUGUGCUAUGACUGCUUCUUUGAGAAUUCUGUGUCCCAAAUAAGAAGAAUUGUUGUGGUAGAUGUCUCAGCCUGUAUACUAUAGAAUUUCAUGGACCCAAGUCAUCACUGCAUUACUCCAGUUUUAUGUCAUAGUAAGUUCACUGAAUGGAGUUACAACUGUAAAACUGGAGUAAUGUUGUGAUGGAUCAGGCCCAGUGUCCAUUGGUGUGGUGACUGUCCUUCCCACAUACAACAAUAUACUGUAUCUACCAUGCACAUUCAUUGAAUUUGCCAGUCUACAUUUCCUGAAAGAAGCCCUUUAAUGAACACUUGAAGUUUAGUGGGUUUGAUGCGAAUAUUUGCUACGUGUUGGAAUAUCUACCUGUUGGAAAAGUGUAGAAUAUUACACAAUAAAUAUAAGAAAACUGGUCUGGUGCUGACUCAAAAAUCAAUGGAUGAGUGGAUAGGUAACCACCAAUUUAGAAAUGCAGGAAAUCUUUGUAUUAUUGCUAUAAAAGUGGACCCCAGAUUUUUUUAAAAAAUCCUUCUGCCAAAGAGAUGGAGAGAGAGAUAUUAAGCCACUGGAAACAGACUAAAAAUUGACACAGAGGCUGCAGUGGCUUAGUACAUUCGACAGAGCAAUGACCCAAAAGCAAGGCAUGAACGGAGUCGCCACGUGAAGGGAGUCACCACAGCAUCACCAAUGUGCAAACAACAUUUCAGAGUUAGGGAGGUCCUUGUGGGACAGCCUACCAGACUUUGGCCUCGCCAUCAUUGUUCCUCCCAGCUUUAGGAAGAGAAACUUGAAGCUAGGAUACCACACGUGUGGCAGGAUACCAAUGUUGCAUCUGACAUUACUGCCUGUGUGUCCAUCAUCUUUCACAUAGCUGUACAACACCAACCCACCAGUUGCUCCAAACAAUGCUGAGAGAAUGGCCUUCAUUAGAACAAACAAAUAAAAUGGCUAUUUGACACUUCUAUUGCAAAUAAAAUUUUGUGACACUUUCUGCUUCUACAUACAUUCUUGGAAACAAAUAUUUGCUAGUACAAAUGUCCACAAAAAAGAGAAGGAAAGAGCUAGUGAAUGCUGUUGCAGAAAAAUUCUAAUUAGAAUCCACAAAAUGUUCAUGAAUAAUAUUCCUUCCUAUCUGUCUAGCUCUAGUGCGGAAUACACUUUGCCUUAUGCCAUUACUGACUCCCGGAAACAAUAAGCAAUAUGAAAAUAGAAACAAUUUGACAAUUAAUUACAUCACUACCACCCCUUUCAAUUAGGUCCUCCAUUUCUUUGGUAUACUGUAAAAUUUAACUCAUAAUUAUGCUUUAAUUCAUUUUUGUUUAUUUAACACUACAAUACGAUCAAAACAGAAAGCCAUCAGAAUGCAAAAUGCUAGCUGCAUUUCCAUGUUGUAAAUGUUGUAUUUGAGCUUUUAUAACAAAAUGUAGUAUUUUGUACCAUUCUGUUUAAAAUGUAUCUGGCUAAGCUCCAAUACUCUUUCACUGUAAACAGGAACUUCCUUGGAGGACAAGUAAUCAUACUUAAUGACAUAAAAGAUCAUUAAAAUAAUGUUCCAAAAACAUAGCAAAAUUAAACAUUGCAAGAUUAUUUUCUUCUUUGAAGUCUUUCACCAGAUGGUGAAAAGUGCUGAAAUCAUAAGUCUGAGUGGGAAGGGAAAAUGUUUCUACAAUCCUUUCUUGAUGCUAGUGUCAGCAUGUAUAAUCUUUACAUGUGGCUAUACAAAACUGCAGCUCAGACCUUCUUGGAGUCAAGUGUUUGUGCUCAAGAUAAAUUUCCAUUCUGAGGUGUUCUAAUGAAGCUUGUUCUGAAUCUGAGGCAGGGAAUUCCCUGAUACAUUUCAUUAGCCAUGUCAAACAGAUCUAUUCAUAAAUGAGAACAAAUAAGCACAUCAGCAGAAGUUAUUGGGGUAAUUUGGAAACUUACUGACCUAUUUUCAGACAUCAUAUAAAGGAAGAGCUAUGUCAUUAAAUUAGUGCACUAUAAUUUUAUUUUGAUACAGGAAUAGAGUUCAUAUUUUAUCAAAAAAGAUACCCUGAUGCAUCUGUGACUUGAAGAUGUGUGGUUAAAUAUUUAAAUGAAAGAGGGUCUAAUGGCUUCCUUAGAAGAAAGAGCUUAUGCACCUAAUGAGGAAUAGAAAAAAGAAUGUGCCAAUUGCUGUACAGUGUGAAGUGACCACAAAGCAAGAGUGAAUUUGUAUCUCUUAGCACUGUUCACAUUCUUGUUUGACGAAUUCUACAAAGUUGGCUUCCAUAAUAUUCCAUGGACUGUUUUUGUGGACUUCCUGGUGGAAAAUGUUGACGAAUUUAGCAUGAUUUUGUAGCAGAAGUGGACAAAAAUUAAUAGCAAUUAAAAAAAAAUAGACUACAUUGUGGGUAAAUGUUCCCUAGUGCAAGUUAUACGGUAUGGAUGGGAUUUUUAAAAGCUGUCAGCUUUGGCUUAACUCUGCUCUUAUUGAAGCCAAUGGAAAUUUCAGCAUUGGCUUCAGCUGGAGCAGAGUUAAGCCAACACUGAGUUCUUUUGAAAAUUCAACCUCACUUCUUCAAACUUUCUGACUUUAACAUUUUAGGACUCUAAAAGCCAUAUUGUUCCUUAUGUGGCCUAUUGUGCAUGUGGCUCAUUGUGCUCAUGGCAUUUCCUAUGAAUUCUUUCCGCUAAGAUUGGGUUUUCUUACUAUUAAAGUAAUAAAUCCCUGCCCUGAUAGCCACAUCUGGAUCUUGAAGGAACCACAGGACUCACAAGAUUAUGAGCUUGGAGGCUCUGAGCAUAGAAUCAUAGAAUAUCAGGGUUGGAAGGGACCUCAGGAGGUCAUCUAGUCCAACCCCCUGCUCAAAGCAGGACCAAUCCCCAAUUUUUGCCCCAGAUCCCAAAUGGCCCCCUCGAGGAUUGAACUCACAACCCUGGGUUUAGUUAGGCCAAUGCUCAAACCACUGAGCUAUCUCUCCCCCGCCAUCUGCCAGGGCUCCCAAUUUCUAACCUCCCCCUGGCAGCAUCACUCCUUUAGGAAGCCAAAGACUCCUUUAUUGACUAACCUAUGCAUAGGAGUUCUUGUUCUGAGCUGAAGCUGUUAUGAACUUGUAAUCACAGACUGGUUUGAAGACUAGCUGCUAUCUGAGCCCUUGCUGGAGUUGGGGUGUGUG
This is a long non-coding RNA of Chelonia mydas (Green sea turtle), 7052 nucleotides long. RefSeq lists it as uncharacterized. The transcript is spliced from 4 exons. The record is from RefSeq and is a predicted model, not a curated record. NCBI's taxonomy places the organism in Eukaryota, Metazoa, Chordata, Testudines, Cheloniidae.